UACGGGGGGGGCAAGCGUUGUUCGGAAUUACUGGGCGUAAAGGGCUCGUAGGUGGCCAACUAAGUCGGACGUGAAAUCCCUCGGCUUAACCGGGGAACUGCAUCCGAUACUGGAUGGCUUGAGUUCGGGAGAGGGAUGCGGAAUUCCAGGUGUAGCGGUGAAAUGCGUAGAUAUCUGGAGGAACACCGAUGGCGAAGGCAAUCCCCUGGGCCUGCACUGACGCUCAUGCACGAAAGCGUGGGGAGCAAACAGG
Molecule: ribosomal RNA, 253 nt
Filed under: uncultured bacterium
Lineage: Bacteria
Description: partial 16S ribosomal RNA
Rfam family: Bacterial small subunit ribosomal RNA
Source: RNAcentral